ACGCACGCUGGCGGCGUGCUUAACACAUGCAAGUCGAACGGAAAGGCCCUGCUUUUGUGGGGUGCUCGAGUGGCGAACGGGUGAGUAACACGUGAGUAACCUGCCCUUGACUUUGGGAUAACUUCAGGAAACUGGGGCUAAUACCGGAUAGGAGCUCCUGCUGCAUGGUGGGGGUUGGAAAGUUUCGGCGGUUGGGGAUGGACUCGCGGCUUAUCAGCUUGUUGGUGGGGUAGUGGCUUACCAAGGCUUUGACGGGUAGCCGGCCUGAGAGGGUGACCGGCCACAUUGGGACUGAGAUACGGCCCAGACUCCUACGGGAGGCAGCAGUGGGGAAUAUUGCACAAUGGGCGGAAGCCUGAUGCAGCAACGCCGCGUGCGGGAUGACGGCCUUCGGGUUGUAAACCGCUUUCGCCUGUGACGAAGCGUGAGUGACGGUAAUGGGUAAAGAAGCACCGCCUAACUACGUG
Molecule: ribosomal RNA, 467 nt
Filed under: uncultured bacterium
Lineage: Bacteria
Description: partial 16S ribosomal RNA
Rfam family: Bacterial small subunit ribosomal RNA
Source: RNAcentral